AUGAAUAUGAUGGUUGUUUUCCUCUGUCUCUACCAAUUGCCUUUUUUAAAGAGCACAACCUGUUGGAAGACUGACUUUGCUCCUGUAACAAAAACACGGAGUCUCGCGUUGCCUCUCAGGUCCAUAGCUACACGUAGUGCCUCUGUUGCGUUUGCAUGUUCUGCAUGUACCGUAGAGAGCUCGGAUUGUUACCUCACUGUGAUUGUCAAAAUCUGCCUCAUGGGCAAGCUAAUGGAAUCACGGAGAGUUCCAUAUUUCAACUUGGUAUUCAGAGCAACAUUACGUGCGACCUACCUCUCUCAUGGAGACCGCUAA
This 315-nucleotide ribosomal RNA is filed under the name Triticum aestivum (bread wheat). RNAcentral's name for it is "partial small subunit ribosomal RNA". The record is from RNAcentral. Lineage: Eukaryota; Viridiplantae; Streptophyta; Magnoliopsida; Poales; Poaceae.